RNAcentral lists this unclassified non-coding RNA (272 nucleotides) under Hevea brasiliensis (rubber tree). The record is from RNAcentral. Lineage: Eukaryota; Viridiplantae; Streptophyta; Magnoliopsida; Malpighiales; Euphorbiaceae.
UUAAAUUAAAGUUACGUCUUCCUGUCACUGUUAUAUACAUGACUUCGGACCCCUUGCGCAUUGGAUAUUUAAUUUCAGGAAGUGGUAUUGAUUCUCUGCACACUUAAGCGAUAUUACAAGUCAUUGCCCCCACGUGCGUAUAAAAUAUUUAACUGUCAUGAUCAUGUCUUCCAUAUCAUUCUUUCAUUUUAUGCUUUUAAUGAUUCACUAGUUUAUUGUCAUUUAGUUGUUCUCUCAUUUUUCUUAAUUUAUUACCCGCUCUCCCCAUAAGA